Molecule: long non-coding RNA, 1562 nt
Organism: Danio aesculapii
Lineage: Eukaryota; Metazoa; Chordata; Actinopteri; Cypriniformes; Danionidae
Exons: 4
Source: RefSeq, a predicted model, not a curated record
UCUGACUCACAGCUUCAGGUGUUUGUUUGACAACAAGGAAGAAGCGUGUGAUGACAGAUGACAGUCACCAAAACAAAACACCUGCAGUUUGUUUUAAAUACAUAAUUUACAGAUGACAGCUUAGCGACAGACUCUUAAUGUGUUUAAACAGCACAUAUUCCAGCUCAACAGCAGAUUAAAGCAGCAGAAUCUGCGAUCAAGUGCAGGAAUCGACUGAAGAGACUCACCUAAUGAAGGUUGUGUUUGGACUGUACAGCCAAGAGAAACGGAGCUCUGGGACACUUGACAGCCAUGGACUGUAAGGACGGACGUCUGCUGCUGGACAGGGUUCCUCUUGUGGUCAUCAAGUGUAUCGAUCUUUAAGCAGAAGUGGCUGUCUGCUUUGCUCUGCUGCAGGCAAAAGCAGAAGCCCGUCUGGACACAGUUCUAGUGCUCAGGGGAGACACCCGUCCCGUUCUCAAACACACCACAGCAUUCACUCAUUUUAGAGAUGGGAAGUCUGUACCGUAAAGCCAGAUUAGUGGCUAGCCAGUUCAGUUUUAGUUUAGUUUGCACCAAUUCUUGGUUUUAGGUUCCAUAACGGAGCUCAGCUCAUCUCGGCUGCUCCCUGAUAUCAUGACAAUAAAGAGUGAUUGAAGUCCAGCUGCCUUCAUGUUACUUAAAUCUAUAUUGUUUCAGCAUCGAUAUCACAAUCUGCAAAUCUGCAAUAGUCACAUCACAGGAUCUUCUAUGUUGAGUCAGGAUUGUGAUUAACCAGAGAACAGAGUUCAGUUCAGAACAGUUUAACCCUCACUGAGUGAAAGAUUUUUCAGGCCUGCAUUAGACAAUGUAAGAUUUCAAGUGAAUUUAAACCAUUUGGGCUCUAGAAAUGAUCAAAUGUGUAGCUUCAACAAAGAAUAAUUGCAUUGAAUUAUUUCUACAGUGAAGACUAAAGUAGUCAACAUUUGAAGUGUAUCAGAAAAGUGUUUCAAAAUGUUUCUAAGACCAGACGAGAUGUUGUUAAACAGUUUGAGGACCACUUUAAUGAAAGGUUUUCACCUUAUAAAGUGAUAUUUUACAUUUGAUCUUUUAAUUUCUGUCCCUCAGUACUGUUAGACUCUCCAGAAAGCCAUAAAGCACUGUUUAUAUCAUUUGUAUAUUUCUUCUAUUUUAUUAAUUUAUGCUUGUUGUAUGUUUAUUAUAUUUUAUGCAGAUUCACUCUCGAUAAAAUCAUCACAAUCAACAUUUCUCCAAAUUCAAAUUAUUAUUCAUAUUGUGAAAUUAUAUUCCUAUUGCAGUAUAUAUCGCAGAAAAACUAAAUAUCGCAAUGUCAGUUUUUCCCAAUAUCCUGCAGCCCUACAUAAAACCCAGAACUUGUGCAAACUAAACUGAAAGUGAACCGUCUAACCUGCUAAUCCAGCUUCACACUACAGGCCCCUGACUGGACUGCUGAUGUGUUUAUUUUAAUGACUCUUAGGACAGUGGUUCAGUUCAGCUUUGAUUUGAGAGACUAAACUGAUGUGGCAAGAAAACAUUAUUCCAUGUAGUAAAACAAGAGAUCUGAGUUAUACAGCAUCAUAAAA